RNAcentral lists this ribosomal RNA (1185 nucleotides) under Lactobacillus johnsonii ATCC 33200. RNAcentral describes it as "bacterial SSU rRNA". It matches the Rfam family "Bacterial small subunit ribosomal RNA", at positions 344 to 1520 of the family's 1533-position model. The record is from RNAcentral. Lineage: Bacteria; Bacillati; Bacillota; Bacilli; Lactobacillales; Lactobacillaceae.
GGAGGCAGCAGUAGGGAAUCUUCCACAAUGGACGAAAGUCUGAUGGAGCAACGCCGCGUGAGUGAAGAAGGGUUUCGGCUCGUAAAGCUCUGUUGGUAGUGAAGAAAGAUAGAGGUAGUAACUGGCCUUUAUUUGACGGUAAUUACUUAGAAAGUCACGGCUAACUACGUGCCAGCAGCCGCGGUAAUACGUAGGUGGCAAGCGUUGUCCGGAUUUAUUGGGCGUAAAGCGAGUGCAGGCGGUUCAAUAAGUCUGAUGUGAAAGCCUUCGGCUCAACCGGAGAAUUGCAUCAGAAACUGUUGAACUUGAGUGCAGAAGAGGAGAGUGGAACUCCAUGUGUAGCGGUGGAAUGCGUAGAUAUAUGGAAGAACACCAGUGGCGAAGGCGGCUCUCUGGUCUGCAACUGACGCUGAGGCUCGAAAGCAUGGGUAGCGAACAGGAUUAGAUACCCUGGUAGUCCAUGCCGUAAACGAUGAGUGCUAAGUGUUGGGAGGUUUCCGCCUCUCAGUGCUGCAGCUAACGCAUUAAGCACUCCGCCUGGGGAGUACGACCGCAAGGUUGAAACUCAAAGGAAUUGACGGGGGCCCGCACAAGCGGUGGAGCAUGUGGUUUAAUUCGAAGCAACGCGAAGAACCUUACCAGGUCUUGACAUCCAGUGCAAACCUAAGAGAUUAGGUGUUCCCUUCGGGGACGCUGAGACAGGUGGUGCAUGGCUGUCGUCAGCUCGUGUCGUGAGAUGUUGGGUUAAGUCCCGCAACGAGCGCAACCCUUGUCAUUAGUUGCCAUCAUUAAGUUGGGCACUCUAAUGAGACUGCCGGUGACAAACCGGAGGAAGGUGGGGAUGACGUCAAGUCAUCAUGCCCCUUAUGACCUGGGCUACACACGUGCUACAAUGGACGGUACAACGAGAAGCGAACCUGCGAAGGCAAGCGGAUCUCUUAAAGCCGUUCUCAGUUCGGACUGUAGGCUGCAACUCGCCUACACGAAGCUGGAAUCGCUAGUAAUCGCGGAUCAGCACGCCGCGGUGAAUACGUUCCCGGGCCUUGUACACACCGCCCGUCACACCAUGAGAGUCUGUAACACCCAAAGCCGGUGGGAUAACCUUUAUAGGAGUCAGCCGUCUAAGGUAGGACAGAUGAUUAGGGUGAAGUCGUAACAAGGUAGCCGUAGGAGAACCUGCGGCUG